RNAcentral lists this ribosomal RNA (507 nucleotides) under Cymatodera aegra. RNAcentral's name for it is "partial 16S ribosomal RNA". It matches the Rfam family "Bacterial large subunit ribosomal RNA", at positions 1831 to 2597 of the family's 2925-position model. Lineage: Eukaryota; Metazoa; Arthropoda; Insecta; Coleoptera; Cleridae. The record is from RNAcentral.
CCUUUAGAUAUUAAUUUAAGGUCUAAUCUGCCCACUGAGGAAUUGAAUGGCCGCGGUAUUUUGACCGUGCGAAGGUAGCAUAAUCAUUAGUUUUUUAAUUGAAAGCUGGAAUGAAAGAUUGGAUGAGAAAAUAACUGUCUCAAAUUAAUUUUGUUAGAAUUUUAUUUUUAAGUUAAAAAGCUUAAAUAGUUUUAGAAGACGAGAAGACCCUAUAGAGUUUAAUAAUUUUUUAUUUUAAGAUUUAAUUGUUUUGAAAGAUUUAAAUUUAAAAAAUUAUUUUGUUGGGGUGACAGAAAAAUUUAAUAAACUUUUUCUAAAUAUUAAUACUUAUAAGUAAAUUAUUGAUCCAAAAAUUUUGAUUAUAAGAUUAAAUUACCUUAGGGAUAACAGCGUAAUUUUUUUUGAGAGUUCUUAUCGAAAAAGAAGAUUGCGACCUCGAUGUUGGAAUUAAAAUUAAGUUUUGGUGUAGAAGCUAAAAUUUUAGGUCUGUUCGACCUUUAAAACUUU